GGGGGAGAAUGUGACAGGUGAGACCUGAGUCUGGGAACCGCCCCUGGUGGGCGGAGCGGGUCUUUGCCCCUUUCAUAAGCUCAGGUGUGGGCAAUUAGGUAUCCUCUAGCAAACCUGAAGCUGCGAGUGCUUGGUCCAAGCUGGGCAAGUUGGUGUUUUUUUAAAAAAUUUCUUUCUAUGAAAGCUUGAUGCGGGUCCCCCUAAACUUCUGUUAGAACGGUGGGAAACAUUGCGUUCCUGUGAGAGUAGUGGACUUCACCACCACUGACCCACAUUUAUUAGGGUGUGACGCGAACUUGUGGACAGAUGGUGAAGGCGCUGCGUGGAAAACAAAUCCCUUUUUUGUCUUGCCGCUUUUUGCAUGCACAGCGGUGGGCCUGAGUGAAGACGGCACUGAAGAUUUGCCUUUUUCUAUAGUGUCUUGCCCAUUUGGGGUUAUGUGUGAGUUGCCGUCCCUUUUUAACUUGUGUGAUAUGUUGAUUUGUUCUUAAACGGUUCCCCGCAGUGCUUAUCCUGUCUCACGGGCAAUCAUACAGUUUUAUCGUUUUUUAUCGUAUUUAAUAAAGUAAGGUUUUUAAUUGUUUUUA
Molecule: long non-coding RNA, 587 nt
Organism: Oreochromis aureus
Lineage: Eukaryota; Metazoa; Chordata; Actinopteri; Cichliformes; Cichlidae
Exons: 3
Source: RefSeq, a predicted model, not a curated record